Molecule: ribosomal RNA, 588 nt
Filed under: uncultured bacterium
Lineage: Bacteria
Description: partial 16S ribosomal RNA
Rfam family: Bacterial small subunit ribosomal RNA
Source: RNAcentral
UGGGGAAUUUUGGACAAUGGGCGAAAGCCUGAUCCAGCAAUGCCGCGUGUGUGAAGAAGGCCUUCGGGUUGUAAAGCACUUUUGUCCGGAAAGAAAUCCUUGGCUCUAAUACAGUCGGGGGAUGACGGUACCGGAAGAAUAAGCACCGGCUAACUACGUGCCAGCAGCCGCGGUAAUACGUAGGGUGCAAGCGUUAAUCGGAAUUACUGGGCGUAAAGCGUGCGCAGGCGGUUUGCUAAGACCGAUGUGAAAUCCCCGGGCUCAACCUGGGAACUGCAUUGGUGACUGGCAGGCUAGAGUAUGGCAGAGGGGGGUAGAAUUCCACGUGUAGCAGUGAAAUGCGUAGAGAUGUGGAGGAAUACCGAUGGCGAAGGCAGCCCCCUGGGGCCAAAUACUGACGCUCAUGCACGAAAGCGUGGGGAGCAAAACAGGAUUAGAUACCCUGGUAGUCCACGCCCUAAACGAUGUCAACUAGUUGUUGGGGAUUCAUUUCCUUAGUAACGUAGCUAACGCGUGAAGUUGACCGCCUGGGGAGUACGGUCGCAAGAUUAAAACUCAAAUGAAUUGACGGGGUCAUAGCUGUUUCCU